This 505-nucleotide ribosomal RNA is filed under the name Glomus sp. MO-G5. Its description in RNAcentral is "SSU rRNA". It matches the Rfam family "Eukaryotic small subunit ribosomal RNA", at positions 569 to 1078 of the family's 1831-position model. Lineage: Eukaryota; Fungi; Glomeromycota; Glomeromycetes; Glomerales; Glomeraceae. The record is from RNAcentral.
AGCAGCCGCGGUAAUUCCAGCUCCAAUAGCGUAUAUUAAAGUUGUUGCAGUUAAAAAGCUCGUAGUUGAAUUUCGGGAUUAGUACGUUGGUCGUGCCUUCGGUACGUACUGGUGUUACUGAUUCCUACCUUCUGACGAACCAUCAUGUCAUUAAUUUGGUGUGGCGGGGAACCAGGACUGUUACUUUGAAAAAAUUAGAGUGUUUAAAGCAGGCUCGCGCUUGAAUACAUUAGCAUGGAAUAAUGAAAUAGGACGUUGACCCUAUUUUGUUGGUUUCUAGGAUUGACGUAAUGAUUAAUAGGGAUAGUUGGGGGCAUUAGUAUUCAAUUGUCAGAGGUGAAAUUCUUGGAUUUAUUGAAGACUAACUACUGCGAAAGCAUUUGCCAAGGAUGUUUUCAUUAAUCAAGAACGAAAGUUAGGGGAUCGAAGACGAUCAGAUACCGUCGUAGUCUUAACCAUAAACUAUGCCGACUAGGGAUCGGAUGAUGUUAUUUUUAAUGACUCA